This 497-nucleotide ribosomal RNA is filed under the name uncultured bacterium. RNAcentral describes it as "partial 16S ribosomal RNA". It matches the Rfam family "Bacterial small subunit ribosomal RNA", at positions 28 to 507 of the family's 1533-position model. The record is from RNAcentral.
GAUGAACGCUGGCGGCGUGCCUAAUACAUGCAAGUCGAGCGAACAGACGAGGAGCUUGCUCCUCUGACGUUAGCGGCGGAAGGGUGAGUAACACGUGGAUAACCUACCUAUAAGACUGUGAUAACUUCGGGAAACCGGAGCUAAUACCGGAUAAUAUAUUUAACCGCAUGGUUCAAUAGUGAAAGACUGUUUUGCUGUCACUUAUAGAUGGAUCCGCGCCGCAUUAGCUAGUUGGUAAGGUAACGGCUUACCAAGGCAACGAUGCGUAGCCGACCUGAGAGGGUGAUCGGCCACACAGGAACUGAAACGCGGUCCAGACUCCUACGGGAGGCAGCAGUAGGGAAUCUUCAGCAAUGGGCGAAAGAAUGACGGAGCAACGCAGCGUGAGUGAUGAAGGUCUUCGGAUCGUAAAACUCUGUUAUUAGGGAAGAACAAAUGUGUAAGUAACUAUGCACGUCUUGACGGUACCUAAUCAGAAAGCCAAGGCUAACUACGUG